Non-coding RNA from Lasiosphaeria hispida, 96 nucleotides. The record is from the annotation of a GenBank genome assembly. Lineage: Eukaryota; Fungi; Ascomycota; Sordariomycetes; Sordariales; Lasiosphaeriaceae.
GGCUGUUUGGCCGAGUGGUUAAGGCGACAGACUUGAAUUUCCAUGUUCAGAUAUCUGUUGGGUUCGCCCGCAGAGGUUCGAUCCCUCUAGCAGCCG